GACGAACGCUGGCGGCGUGCUUAACACAUGCAAGUCGAGCGAUGAAGUUCCUUCGGGAGCGGAUUAGCGGCGAACGGGUGAGGAACACGUGAGGAAUCUGCCUUCUACUCUGGGAUAACUCCGGGAAACCGGGGCUAAUACUGGAUAUGAAACCUGGUGGCAUCAUCGGGUUUGGAAAGUUUUUCGGUAGAAGAUGACCUCGCGGCCUAUCAGCUUGUUGGUGAGGUAAUGGCUCACCAAGGCGACGACGGGUAGCCGGCCUGAGAGGGCACACGGCCACACUGGCACUGAAACACGGGCCAGACUCCUACGGGAGGCAGCAGUGGGGAAUCUUGCACAAUGGGGGCAACCCUGAUGCAGCGACGCCGCGUGAGCGAUGAAGCCCUUCGGGGUGUAAAGCUCUUUCGACGGGAACGAUAAUGACGGUACCCGGAGAAGAAGCUGCGGCUAACUACGUGCCAGCAGCCGCGGUAAUACGUAGGCAGCGAGCGUUGUUCGGAAUUACUGGGCGUAAAGAGUGUGUAGGCGGUGUUCCCAGUCUGUUGUGAAAUCUCCCGGCUUAACUGGGAGGGUGCAGCGGAAACUAGAAUGCUAGAGGGUGGGAGAGGUAAGCGGAAUUCCUGGUGUAGCGGUGAAAUGCGUAGAUAUCAGGAGGAACACCUGUGGUGUAGACAGCUUACUGGACCACUUCUGACGCUGAGACACGAAAGCG
RNAcentral lists this ribosomal RNA (712 nucleotides) under uncultured bacterium. RNAcentral's name for it is "bacterial SSU rRNA". It matches the Rfam family "Bacterial small subunit ribosomal RNA", at positions 28 to 761 of the family's 1533-position model. The record is from RNAcentral.